UUGAAGGCUGGAAUGAAAGGUUGGAUGAAGGAAAUACUGUUUUAUAUAAAUGAUUUUGAAUUUAUAAUUUAAGUAAAAAUACUUAAAUUGUGUUAAGGGACGAGAAGACCCUAUAGAGUUUAAUAUAAAAAGUUCUAGUUUUGUUAUUUUGGAUCUAAAAAUUAGUUAUAUAUUAUAUUUGAUUGGGGUGAUUGGAAAAUAAAUUAAAUUUUUCUUUUAUGUUUAUAAAAUGAAUAGAAAUAAGAUCCAUUAUUUUAAUGAUUAAAAGGUUAAAUUACCUUAGGGAUAACAGCAUAAUUUUUUUUGAGAGUUCAAAUUGAUAAAAAGGAUUAUGACCUCGAUGUUGGAUUAACAUAUAAUUUAGGUGUAGAUGCUUAAAUAAUUGGUCUGUUCGACCAUUAAAAUCUUACAUGAUCUGAGUUCAAACCGGAGA
RNAcentral lists this ribosomal RNA (433 nucleotides) under Paraoxypilus tasmaniensis. RNAcentral's name for it is "partial 16S ribosomal RNA". The stretch from base 285 to 433 matches the Rfam family "Bacterial large subunit ribosomal RNA", at positions 2473 to 2622 of the family's 2925-position model. Lineage: Eukaryota; Metazoa; Arthropoda; Insecta; Mantodea; Amorphoscelidae. The record is from RNAcentral.